UGUGGGAGCGAGCCUGCUCGCGAUAGCGGUGGGUCAGCCAGCAUUUCUGAAACUGACUAACCGCCAUCGCGAGCAGGCUCGCUCCCACA
Molecule: unclassified non-coding RNA, 89 nt
Filed under: Pseudomonas kilonensis
Lineage: Bacteria; Pseudomonadati; Pseudomonadota; Gammaproteobacteria; Pseudomonadales; Pseudomonadaceae
Source: RNAcentral